AAACUUUCAACAACGGAUCUCUUGGUUCUCGCAUCGAUGAAGAACGCAGCGAAAUGCGAUAAGUAAUGUGAAUUGCAGAUUUUCGUGAAUCAUUGAAUCUUUGAACGCACAUUGCGCUUUCUGGUAUUCCGGAAAGCAUGCCUGUUUGAGCGUCAUUU
Molecule: ribosomal RNA, 158 nt
Filed under: Wenyingozyma nanaspora
Lineage: Eukaryota; Fungi; Ascomycota; Pichiomycetes; Pichiales; Pichiaceae
Description: [Candida] nanaspora 5.8S ribosomal RNA
Rfam family: 5.8S ribosomal RNA
About the family: 5.8S ribosomal RNA (5.8S rRNA) is a component of the large subunit of the eukaryotic ribosome.
Source: RNAcentral